CCUACGGGAGGCAGCAGUGAGGAAUAUUGGUCAAUGGGCGCGAGCCUGAACCAGCCAAGUCGCGUGAUGGAAGACGGUCCUAUGGAUUGUAAACCUCUUUUGUCGGGGAGCAAAAGACGCCACGCGUGGCGUUCCGAGAGUACCAGAAGAAAAAGAAUCGGCUAACUCCGUGCACGCGGCGGCGGUAAUACGGAGGAGGCGAGCGUAAUCCGGAUUUAGGGGGGUUAAAGGGUGCGCAGGCGGAAGAUCAAGUCAGCGGUAAAAUUGAGAGGCUCAACCUCUUCGAGCCGUUGAAACUGGUUUUCUUGAGUGAGCGAGAAGUAUGCGGAAUGCGUGGUGUAGCGGUGAAAUGCAUAGAUAUCACGCAGAACUCAGAUUGCGAAGGCAGCAUACCGGCGCUCAACUGACGCUCAUGCACGAAAGUGUGGGUAUCGAACAGGAUUAGAUACCCGGGUAGUC
This 459-nucleotide ribosomal RNA is filed under the name uncultured bacterium. RNAcentral's name for it is "partial 16S ribosomal RNA". It matches the Rfam family "Bacterial small subunit ribosomal RNA", at positions 338 to 795 of the family's 1533-position model. The record is from RNAcentral.